AAACGUAGGAGGCGAGCGUUAUCCGGAUUUAUUGGGCGUAAAGCGCGUGCAGGUAGUAUCGUAAGUCGGAUGUGAAAGCCUCUGGCUCAACUGGAGGAUGUCGUUCGAUACUGCGGAACUUGAGGUCGGGAGAGGGAAGCGGAAUUCCCGGUGUAGUGGUGGAAUGCGUAGAUAUCGGGAGGAACACCAGUGGCGAAGGCGGCUUCCUGGCCCGCACCUGACACUAAGACGCGAAAGCGUGGGGAGCGAACGGGAUUAGAUACCCCGGUAGUCCACGCUGUAAACGAUGGGUACUGGGUAUUGGUGGUAUUGACCCCAUCAGUGCCGAAGCCAACGCGUUAAGUACCCCGCCUGGGGACUACGGCCGCAAGGUUAAA
RNAcentral lists this ribosomal RNA (377 nucleotides) under uncultured bacterium. RNAcentral describes it as "bacterial SSU rRNA". It matches the Rfam family "Bacterial small subunit ribosomal RNA", at positions 523 to 898 of the family's 1533-position model. The record is from RNAcentral.